CGGAUNUUGGGCGUAAGAGCUCGUAGGCGGUUUGUCGCGUCUGUCGUGAAAGUCCGGGGCUUAACCCCGGAUCUGCGGUGGGUACGGGCAGACUAGAGUGCAGUAGGGGAGACUGGAAUUCCUGGUGUAGCGGUGGAAUGCGCAGAUAUCAGGAGGAACACCGAUGGCGAAGGCAGGUCUCUGGGCUGUAACUGACGCUGAGGAGCGAAAGCAUGGGGAGCGAACAGGAUUAGAUACCCUGGUAGUCCAUGCCGUAAACGUUGGGCACUAGGUGUGGGGACCAUUCCACGGUUUCCGCGCCGCAGCUAACGCAUUAAGUGCCCCGCCUGGGGAGUACGGCCGCAAGGCUAAAACUCAAAGGAAUUGACGGGGGCCCGCACAAGCGGCGGAGCAUGCGGAUUAAUUCGAUGCAACGCGAAGAACCUUACCAAGGCUUGACAUGUUCUGGAUCGCCGUAGAGAUACGGUUUCCCCUUUGGGGCGGGUUCACAGGUGGUGCAUGGUUGUCGUCAGCUCGUGUCGUGAGAUGUUGGGUUAAGUCCCGCAACGAGCGCAACCCUCGUUCCAUGUUGCCAGCACGUAAUGGUGGGGACUCAUGGGAGACUGCCGGGGUCAACUCGGAGGAAGGUGAGGACGACGUCAAAUCAUCAUGCCCCUUAUGUCUUGGGCUUCACGCAUGCUACAAUGGCCGGUACAAUGGGUUGCGAUACUGUGAGGUGGAGCUAAUCCCAAAAAGCCGGUCUCAGUUCGGAUUGGGGUCUGCAACUCGACCCCAUGAAGUCGGAGUCGCUAGUAAUCGCAGAUCAGCAACGCUGCGGUGAAUACGUUCCCGGGCCUUGUACACACCGCCCGUCAAGUCACGAAAGUUGGUAACACCCGAAGCCGGUGGCCUAACCCUUGUGGGGGGAGCCGUCGAAGGNGGGACCAGCGAUUGGGACUAANUCNA
Molecule: ribosomal RNA, 945 nt
Rfam family: Bacterial small subunit ribosomal RNA